This 22-nucleotide ribosomal RNA is filed under the name Rhodopseudomonas palustris. Its description in RNAcentral is "partial 16S ribosomal RNA". Lineage: Bacteria; Pseudomonadati; Pseudomonadota; Alphaproteobacteria; Hyphomicrobiales; Nitrobacteraceae. The record is from RNAcentral.
UGCGGCUGGAUCACUCCUUUCU